RNAcentral lists this ribosomal RNA (1188 nucleotides) under Kosakonia oryziphila. RNAcentral's name for it is "bacterial LSU rRNA". It matches the Rfam family "Bacterial large subunit ribosomal RNA", at positions 1739 to 2925 of the family's 2925-position model. The record is from RNAcentral. Lineage: Bacteria; Pseudomonadati; Pseudomonadota; Gammaproteobacteria; Enterobacterales; Enterobacteriaceae.
UGAAGCGACGUGCUCGUGGAGCUGAAAUCAGUCGAAGAUACCAGCUGGCUGCAACUGUUUAUUAAAAACACAGCACUGUGCAAACACGAAAGUGGACGUAUACGGUGUGACGCCUGCCCGGUGCCGGAAGGUUAAUUGAUGGGGUUAUCCGUAAGGAGAAGCUCCUGAUCGAAGCCCCGGUAAACGGCGGCCGUAACUAUAACGGUCCUAAGGUAGCGAAAUUCCUUGUCGGGUAAGUUCCGACCUGCACGAAUGGCGUAAUGAUGGCCAGGCUGUCUCCACCCGGGACUCAGUGAAAUUGAACUCGCUGUGAAGAUGCAGUGUACCCGCGGCAAGACGGAAAGACCCCGUGAACCUUUACUAUAGCUUGACACUGAACAUUGAGCCUUGAUGUGUAGGAUAGGUGGGAGGCUUUGAAGCGUGGACGCCAGUCUGCGUGGAGCCAUCCUUGAAAUACCACCCUUUAAUGUUUGAUGUUCUAACGUGGACCCGUAACCCGGGUUGCGGACAGUGUCUGGUGGGUAGUUUGACUGGGGCGGUCUCCUCCUAAAGCGUAACGGAGGAGCACGAAGGUCAGCUAAUCCUGGUCGGACAUCAGGAGGUUAGUGCAAUGGCAUAAGCUGGCUUGACUGCGAGCGUGACGGCGCGAGCAGGUGCGAAAGCAGGUCAUAGUGAUCCGGUGGUUCUGAAUGGAAGGGCCAUCGCUCAACGGAUAAAAGGUACUCCGGGGAUAACAGGCUGAUACCGCCCAAGAGUUCAUAUCGACGGCGGUGUUUGGCACCUCGAUGUCGGCUCAUCACAUCCUGGGGCUGAAGUAGGUCCCAAGGGUAUGGCUGUUCGCCAUUUAAAGUGGUACGCGAGCUGGGUUUAGAACGUCGUGAGACAGUUCGGUCCCUAUCUGCCGUGGGCGCUGGAGAAUUGAGGGGGGCUGCUCCUAGUACGAGAGGACCGGAGUGGACGCAUCACUGGUGUUCGGGUUGUCAUGCCAAUGGCACUGCCCGGUAGCUAAAUGCGGAAGAGAUAAGUGCUGAAAGCAUCUAAGCACGAAACUUGCCCCGGGAUGAGUUCUCCCUGAGACUUUGAGUCUCCUGAAGGAACGUUGAAGACGACGACGUUGAUAGGCCGGGUGUGUAAGCGCAGCGAUGCGUUGAGCUAACCGGUACUAAUGAACCGUGAGGCUUAACCUUA